This 333-nucleotide unclassified non-coding RNA is filed under the name soil metagenome. RNAcentral's name for it is "partial contains 5.8S ribosomal RNA, internal transcribed spacer 2, and large subunit ribosomal RNA". The stretch from base 1 to 121 matches the Rfam family "5.8S ribosomal RNA", at positions 35 to 154 of the family's 154-position model. The record is from RNAcentral.
GAUGAAGAACGCAGCGAAAUGCGAUAAGUAAUGCGAAUUGCAGAAUUUCCGUGAGUCAUCGAAUCUUUGAACGCACAUUGCGCCCUUUGGUAUUCCUUAGGGCAUGCCUGUUCGAGCGUCAUUUAAACCUUCAAGCUCAGCUUGGUGUUGGGUGACUGUCCGCUUCACCGCGGACUCGCCUCAAAAUUAUUGGCGGCCGGUACAUUGGCUUCGAGCGCAGCAGAAACGCGAACUCGGGCCCGUCGUAUUGGCUCCCAGAAGCUAUCUUCACAAUUUUGACCUCGGAUCAGGUAGGGAUACCCGCUGAACUUAAGCAUAUCAAUAAGCGGAGGA